GGCAUAGAUGGGGUGAUGGUAAUCGAUAUAUUUCUUAUAUUUAACACCAUCGGGGUAAACUAGAGGAUUCUCUAAUCUCUAAACACCUUCGCCUCUCUUAAUCUGUGCGCCAAUGUCGACUGCAUUUUUCUCGACAAGAUGUUGGCGGAGAAGAGAUUCAGUGUGGCAGCUGUUGCAGGUGGUUCCACAUACAGUGCCUACAAAUGGACACAGCAGAGCUGCAAAAUAAGAAGCAUGUGGACUGGAAUUGCAUUUUGUGUGAAAAGUAAACAAAUUAGAAUUGUGUAGGAUUUUGUGUUUAGUGUUUAUAUUAUCAAGAUGUUAUUAAACAUUUGUGUGAAAUUUU
Long non-coding RNA from Dicentrarchus labrax (European seabass), 346 nucleotides. RefSeq lists it as uncharacterized. The record is from RefSeq and is a predicted model, not a curated record. The transcript is spliced from 2 exons. NCBI's taxonomy places the organism in Eukaryota, Metazoa, Chordata, Actinopteri, Moronidae.